GACGAACGCUGGCGGCGUGCUUAACACAUGCAAGUCGAGCGGUAAGGCCCUUUCGGGGGUACGACGAGCGGCGAACGGGUGAGUAACACGUGGGUAAGUCUGCCCUCAGCUCUGGGAUAAGCCUGGGAAACCGGGUCUAAUACUGGAUAUGACUCCAUGACGCAUGUUGUGGGGUGGAAAGCCUUGUGCGGCUGAGGAUGGGCCCGCGGCCUAUCAGCUUGUUGGUGGGGUGAGGCCUACCAAGGCGACGACGGGUAGCCGGCCUGAGAGGGCGACCGGCCACACUGGGACUGAGACACGGCCCAGACUCCUACGGGAGGCAGCAGUGGGGAAUCUUGCGCAAUGGGCGAAAGCCUGACGCAGCGACGCCGCGUGAGGGAUGACGGCCUGGUGUAACGU
Molecule: ribosomal RNA, 399 nt
Filed under: uncultured bacterium
Lineage: Bacteria
Description: bacterial SSU rRNA
Rfam family: Bacterial small subunit ribosomal RNA
Source: RNAcentral